Homo sapiens (human) is the source of this 1320-nucleotide long non-coding RNA. Lineage: Eukaryota; Metazoa; Chordata; Mammalia; Primates; Hominidae. The record is from Ensembl.
AGUCACAUCAGAUGACACAUGGCAGCAGCUAAAACGGGAAAAGCGCUCCCUGAGUCAUCCCUGGAGCCGGGCGGCAAAGGCUCCUCCUGGGACCAUGUGUGGACCCUCCAAUGAGGGGGGCCUGGGUCACCUUCACUGAGUGGACAGGACACUCAGUGAAGUUCCAAAGGACACUCAGUGAAGUUCCAAAGGACACUCCGCGUCUUUUUCCUCCAGCUCCUGAAGGAAGCACAGUGAAGACUCCAGCAUGGAAAAGCGUGUCCCACACGGCCUCGGCGCCUCCAUGGAUGAUAGAGCCAGCCAGUCAUGGAAGAGCGGGAUCAUCCCGGAAGGGAGCCUGCAGCGAUGAUCCAGCUCCUUCAAAGGGUCUGUGGAUUAUCUCAGCUUCCCUGAAUUAUUCAACUCAGACUGCCAUGCAGAAGAAAAACCAUGAACCCGUAAGUGUUACAUUUUGAAGCAAAAGUUUAUUUUUUCAAAGUCCAUUUUCCCCCUUAGAAAGAAAUAUCAGAGUGAGAAAUAGCGAGUCUCACAUUAUCUAAAAAGCGACUCUCUCCGGUUUUUGUUCCAUUUAUUGAAAACUCCAAUUUCUUUGCCUCGGGUUCUAAUUUAUUUUGCAAUUCGCACAGUGCACUGUAAACAUAAUGUAAAGUUUUCAAAGCUUAAUUAACAGCUACAGGAUAACGGCAGGCCAAGAUUUUAAAGGCAUUUAAGCUUGGCUCCAAGAAAUGAAGAGACUUCCAUUCAGGAAGCUGUGAACUUGUACCUCUUAAAACAAUAAAACCCGUCAGAUCCAGUACUUUGGCUUGCCUUGAAUGCCAAGACCGGCACACCUGCUGGCUUAACCCCAUCCCUCCGAGGUGCUUCUCGAGGGAGUCCUUCCUGUUCUGGAGCUGUUUUUCUCUUGGGGAGAUGAGACAGCAAAAACAACAAAACCAAAAGAAACAAGCGAAAAAAACCACCAAAAACUCAACCACCCCAAAACUAAAAACUGUAUAUUUUAAUCAAAGGUUCAGAAAAUCCACUUUCAAAUUCCACAGGGAUGAGGGUUGGGAUUCAGGUAUCUCGGCAGAAGGAUAGCCAACUGAAAAACCAACCCAAGUGGAUGGGAAGAAUUGACACAAUCUCUCAGAUCUGCAGUGGGUUCAGAAGAGGUGCUGCGUUAUCUGUAGUGUUCCAGUUCUGCCAUUUCCUAGGAGAAGUGCUUGGUGUGGUCACUUACUCUUUCUUGGCCUCAGUUUUUUCCAUCUGUAGAAUGGGACUGAGAAGAAGAAUAUCUCUCACAGGUAGGACAUUGCGUUUUUGUGCUGCAAACGAUUGCAU